GGGAAUGGUCGGGAUAGCUCAGUGGUAGAGC
Molecule: transfer RNA, 31 nt
Filed under: Muehlenbeckia adpressa
Lineage: Eukaryota; Viridiplantae; Streptophyta; Magnoliopsida; Caryophyllales; Polygonaceae
Also listed under: 1 other name
Description: partial tRNA-Phe
Source: RNAcentral